This 446-nucleotide ribosomal RNA is filed under the name uncultured Silvibacterium sp. RNAcentral describes it as "bacterial SSU rRNA". It matches the Rfam family "Bacterial small subunit ribosomal RNA", at positions 32 to 508 of the family's 1533-position model. The record is from RNAcentral. Lineage: Bacteria; Pseudomonadati; Acidobacteriota; Terriglobia; Terriglobales; Acidobacteriaceae.
AUCAACGCUGGCGGCGUGCCUAACACAUGCAAGUCGAACGAGAAAGUGGAGCAAUCCAUGAGUAAAGUGGCGACCGGGUGAGUAACACGUGACUACCUACCCUUGAGUGGGGGAUAACCUCGGGAAACCGAGGCUAAUACCGCAUAAUAUCGAAAGAUCAAAGGAGUAAUCCGCUUUUGGAGGGGGUCGCGGCUGAUUAGCUAGUUGGUAGGGUAAUGGCCUACCAAGGCGAAGAUCGGUAUCCGGCCUGAGAGGGCGCACGGACACACUGGAACUGAAACACGGUCCAGACUCCUACGGGAGGCAGCAGUGGGGAAUUUUGCGCAAUGGGGGAAACCCUGACGCAGCAACGCCGCGUGGAGGAUGAAGUCCCUUGGGGUGUAAACUCCUUUCGACCGGGAAAAUAAUGAUGGUACCGGUGGAAGAAGCACCGGCUAACUCUGUGC